RNAcentral lists this ribosomal RNA (544 nucleotides) under uncultured Chrysophyceae. Its description in RNAcentral is "SSU rRNA". It matches the Rfam family "Eukaryotic small subunit ribosomal RNA", at positions 217 to 769 of the family's 1831-position model. The record is from RNAcentral. Lineage: Eukaryota; Chrysophyceae.
GGAAACCAAUGCGGGGCAACCCUUUAUUUGGUGAUUCAUAGUAAUUUUCGGAUCGAUCUUUUGAUCGAUGCAUCAUUCAAGUUUCUGCCCUAUCAGCUUUGGAUGGUAGGGUAUUGGCCUACCAUGGCAUUAACGGGUAACGGAGAAUUAGGGUUCGAUUCCGGAGAGGGGGCCUGAGAAAUGGCCACCACAUCCAAGGAAGGCAGCAGGCGCGUAAAUUACCCAAUCCUGACACAGGGAGGUAGUGACAAUAAAUAACAAUGUUGGGCCUUUUGGUCUGACAAUUGGAAUGAGAACAAUUUAAAUCCCUUAUCGAGGAUCAAUUGGAGGGCAAGUCUGGUGCCAGCAGCCGCGGUAAUUCCAGCUCCAAUAGCGUAUACUAAAGUUGUUGCAGUUAAAAAGCUCGUAGUUGAAUUUCUGAUCUCGGAUGUCGGUCAGCCCCAAGGGGUUUGUACUUGACUGUUCGGGAUCAUCCUCGAGAUGAAGAUGUCUGUCAUUUAGUUGAUGGGCAUGGGAUUCUCGUCAUUUACUGUGAGCAAAAUAG